UUAACCGUUUGAGCGCUAUGAACGGAUAUAUGCGUUCUCACAUAACCAUUCAAUUUAGGCUAUGAACGGAUAUAUGCGUUCCCACAUAACCAUUCAAUUUAGGCCAAAAGUGGCGUUAAAGUGACGUGAUAAAAGAGACGUAUGGAUUAAUAUCCACCUCACAUUCUGAUGAUUUCGUUGAAACAAAAAAAAAAAAAAAAUGAAUUAUCGAACUGGCAAACCAAAGCGAAAACCAAAGUGUGUAGCAGAGUACAAUGCCUUGAUGGGCGCCGUCGAUAAAAUCAAUAUGAUUUUGAGUUCGAAAAAGCACAAAAUGGUAUAACAAAUAUUUUUUCCACCUCCUAGACCUCGCUAUAUAUAAUGCAUAUAU
Long non-coding RNA from Bombus impatiens (common eastern bumble bee), 370 nucleotides. RefSeq lists it as uncharacterized. The record is from RefSeq and is a predicted model, not a curated record. NCBI's taxonomy places the organism in Eukaryota, Metazoa, Arthropoda, Insecta, Hymenoptera, Apidae. The transcript is spliced from 3 exons.